AGACUUUGAUCCUAGCUCAGAACGAACGCUGGCGGCAUGCCUAACACAUGCAAGUCGAACGAGACCUUCGGGUCUAGUGGCGCACGGGUGCGUAACGCGUGGGAAUCUGCCCUUGGGUUCGGAAUAACAGUUAGAAAUGACUGCUAAUACCGGAUGAUGUCUUCGGACCAAAGAUUUAUCGCCCAGGGAUGAGCCCGCGUCGGAUUAGCUAGUUGGUAUGGUAACCCCCUACCAAGGCGACGAUCCGUAGCUGGUCUGAGAGGAUGAUCAGCCACACUGGGACUGAGACACGGCCCACACUCCUACCGGAGGCACCCGUGGGGACCAUUGGACCAAGGCGCACACCCU
This 348-nucleotide ribosomal RNA is filed under the name uncultured Pseudomonadota bacterium. Its description in RNAcentral is "bacterial SSU rRNA". It matches the Rfam family "Bacterial small subunit ribosomal RNA", at positions 8 to 384 of the family's 1533-position model. The record is from RNAcentral. Lineage: Bacteria; Pseudomonadati; Pseudomonadota.